Molecule: unclassified non-coding RNA, 341 nt
Filed under: soil metagenome
Description: partial contains 5.8S ribosomal RNA, internal transcribed spacer 2, and large subunit ribosomal RNA
Rfam family: 5.8S ribosomal RNA (bases 1-120)
Source: RNAcentral
GAUGAAGAACGUAGCGAAAUGCGAUAAGUAGUGUGAAUUGCAGAAUUCAGUGAAUCAUCGAAUCUUUGAACGCACAUUGCGCCCUUUGGUAUUCCAAAGGGCAUGCCUGUUCGAGCGUCAUUUGUACCCUCAAGCUUUGCUUGGUGUUGGGCGUCUUGUCUCUAGCUUUGCUGGAGACUCGCCUUAAAGUAAUUGGCAGCCGGCCUACUGGUUUCGGAGCGCAGCACAAGUCGCACUCUCUAUCAGCAAAGGUCUAGCAUCCAUUAAGCCUUUUUUUCAACUUUUGACCUCGGAUCAGGUAGGGAUACGCGCUGAACUUAAGCAUAUCAAUAAGCGGAGGA